RNAcentral lists this transfer RNA (74 nucleotides) under Corvus brachyrhynchos (American crow). It matches the Rfam family "tRNA". From Rfam's summary of the family: Transfer RNA (tRNA) molecules are approximately 80 nucleotides in length. Their secondary structure includes four short double-helical elements and three loops (D, anti-codon, and T loops). The record is from Rfam by way of RNAcentral. Lineage: Eukaryota; Metazoa; Chordata; Aves; Passeriformes; Corvidae.
GGUUUAUUAGCUCAGUGGGUUAGAGCAUGGUGCUGAUAACACCAAGGUCCUGUGUUCAAUCCCCCUAUGGGCCA